Molecule: ribosomal RNA, 301 nt
Filed under: uncultured bacterium
Lineage: Bacteria
Description: partial 16S ribosomal RNA
Rfam family: Bacterial small subunit ribosomal RNA
Source: RNAcentral
CAGUAGCCGCGGUAAUACGUAGGUGGCAAGCGUUGUCCGGAAUUAUUGGGCGUAAAGCGCGCGCAGGCGGAUAGGUCAGUCUGUCUUAAAAGUUCGGGGCUUAACCCCGUGAUGAGAUGGAAACUGCCAAUCUAGAGUAUCGGAGAGGAAAGUGGAAUUCCUAGUGUAGCGGUGAAAUGCGUAGAUAUUAGGAAGAACACCAGUGGCGAAGGCGACUUUCUGGACGAAAACUGACGCUGAGGCGCGAAAGCCAGGGGAGCGAACGGGAUUAGAUACCCCAGUAGUCCCUGUCUCUUAUACA